CGAAAGCCUGACGGAGCAACGCCGCGUGUGGGAAGAAGGCUCUUGGGCUGUCAACCACUUUUCUCAGGGAAGAAGUCCUGACGGUACCUGAGGAAUAAGCAUCGGCUAACUCCGUGCCAGCAGCCGCGGUAAGACGGAGGAUGCAAGCGUUAUCCGGAAUUAUUGGGCGUAAAGCGUCCGCAGGCGGCUAAUUAAGUCUGCUGUCAAAGCCCACAGCUCAACUGUGGAUCGGCGGUGGAAACUGGUUAGCUUGAGUGCGGUAGGGGUAGAGGGAAUUCCCGGUGUAGCGGUGAAAUGCGUAGAGAUCGGGAAGAACAUCGGUGGCGAAAGCGCUCUACUGGACGGCAACUGACACUCAGGGACGAAAGCUAGGGGAGCG
RNAcentral lists this ribosomal RNA (379 nucleotides) under uncultured cyanobacterium. Its description in RNAcentral is "bacterial SSU rRNA". It matches the Rfam family "Bacterial small subunit ribosomal RNA", at positions 376 to 770 of the family's 1533-position model. The record is from RNAcentral. Lineage: Bacteria; Bacillati; Cyanobacteriota.